AGUGAACGCUGGCGGUAGGCCUAACACAUGCAAGUCGAACGGCAGCACAGUAAGAGCUUGCUCUUACGGGUGGCGAGUGGCGGACGGGUGAGGAAUACAUCGGAAUCUACUUUUUCGUGGGGGAUAACGUAGGGAAACUUACGCUAAUACCGCAUACGACCUACGGGUGAAAGCAGGGGAACUUCGGACCUUGCGCGAUUGAAUGAGCCGAUGUCGGAUUAGCUAGUUGGCGGGGUAAAGGCCCACCAAGGCGACGAUCCGUAGCUGGUCUGAGAGGAUGAUCAGCCACACUGGAACUGAGACACGGUCCAGACUCCUACGGGAGGCAGCAGUGGGGAAUAUUGGACAAUGGGCGCAAGCCUGAUCCAGCCAUACCGCGUGGGUGAAGAAGGCCUUCGGGUUGUAAAGCCCUUUCGUUGGGAAAGAAAAGCAGCAGGUUAAUACCCCGCUGUUCUGACGGUACCCAAAGAAUAAGCACCGGCUAACUUCGUG
This 492-nucleotide ribosomal RNA is filed under the name uncultured bacterium. RNAcentral's name for it is "partial 16S ribosomal RNA". It matches the Rfam family "Bacterial small subunit ribosomal RNA", at positions 29 to 507 of the family's 1533-position model. The record is from RNAcentral.